This is a non-coding RNA of Cinara cedri, 315 nucleotides long. NCBI's taxonomy places the organism in Eukaryota, Metazoa, Arthropoda, Insecta, Hemiptera, Aphididae. The record is from the annotation of a GenBank genome assembly.
GUGUGUGCACUACUUUUGCCGGUCGGAUCGAAGAUUUCGUUUUUCGUCCAUCCCCGGACAACUCGGACGGUUCUGCGAAAAACCGCGCGUAAAUUAUCGGAGUAGUGUCGGAGACUACCCGGACGCCAUGCGUUUUUACGAGUUAACGUUUGUUCUGCAUAAUAAAAACUGCGUGUUUGAGUGAGUGCCUAACGGUCAUUGUUUAAGUGAGUGUGAUAUAGGUACGAUGCAAUCUAUUAUAGAAUAUUAAAUUGCACGCACAUAUUGUUCUUUCGCAUCAAAACACGAAGAGCGUUAUUAUAAUUGUACACGGUU